Molecule: long non-coding RNA, 3871 nt
Filed under: Diabrotica virgifera virgifera (western corn rootworm)
Lineage: Eukaryota; Metazoa; Arthropoda; Insecta; Coleoptera; Chrysomelidae
Description: uncharacterized LOC126881468
Source: RNAcentral
UUUUAGAUUUGUACUGUAUGGAUGGCACAGGAAGAGAACAAGAACAUGAAACAUCUUAUUAUGAAUGUAUAUGUAUGUGAUCCUCAAAAAAUGAUUUUACAAAACAAGAUAGAGAAAGAGCUUUAAAAUCCCAAGGAUCCUGCAAAAUGUUUAUUUGGUGUACUAGUCGAAUAAUAGUAUCUAAAAAUAUUGAAACUAUUUUAAAACACAUUACGGGCAUGAGGAUGAUAUAGAGCACUUACAUAAAUACCAAAAUCAGAUAAAUACCUCUUCAAAGUUUAUUUUGAGACUUUCUUCAAAAAUUAAACUUCAGACUGUUCAGGAUAGCAUAAUAGCAUAGGAGGCGAAUUAAAAAGAAUUAAUUUACUUACAAGAAAAGAUAUCACAAACAUUAAACUUUCUUAUGGCAUUGAUUUGAAAGAUGGGUAUAUGUACAAUGAUGAUGCAACCAGUGUUUAUUUUUGGGUUGAAUGCUUACAGACUCAUGUCCAAUAUUAUUUUACAAACAACAGGGCAUACUAAUGGAUAUUCAUUCUGAAUUUAACAUUUAUGAUUUUUGUCUUAUUUUCCUUAAUACUGUGCCAAAAGGAAAUGUUAAUUAAGUUUGGUAAAUCCUUUAUCGCAAUCGAUGGAACUCAUGUGCUCAAUUCCUAUGACUUUGAACUUAUGACAGUAUUAGUGAAAGAUGAAUUUGGGAAUGGAUUUUGUACUGCUUUCUUAUUUUCAAAUAGAAAAGAUACCUACUUUAAUUUACCAAUUUUUUUAAAUACAUGUCUGUGUUGGUAUUAUAUGUAUAGUCAAAUGUUUUCAUAUCAGGCAUAAGCGACACCUUUUACAAUGCCUCAUCAAAUGUAAUGGGUAUUGCUCCUAAUAGACUGUUAAGUGCCUAGCACAUAGAUAGGUCAUGGUAAGUAAAUCUUAAUAAAAUAUCUGAUUCUGAAAAAAAUCCUAUUAUGUAUACAAUAUGUAUUAAUGAUGGUUUAGAGAGUAUUAAUAGCUUUUUGGGUAGACUUCUAAGUGAUGCAGAUACAUACAAUUUUAGUAAGUAUUUCCAGUAGAACUACUGCAAUAACAUCCAACAAUGGGCCUAUUGUUAUAGGAAGGGGUAGUGGAGUUAAUACCAAUAUGGCCAUUCAAAAUUUUCAUAAAAUUUUGGAUAAAAGGGUAUCCAUUAGUUGUCAUCAGUUAAGUUUAAAACUUGGCACUCAUGGAGAGCUAUACCAUACUAUAUAAUAGGUAUAUCUCAUAAUAUUACAUCUCAUAUUGCUCACUCAUUACAAUAGUGAGCAAUAUGAGAUAUAACAUAUUAUAGUAUAAGUCUCUGUGCAUGACCAGAUUAACAUGUUUGGUGCCCAUCUCGAACAAGCUCCACUUGGCUGGUACCACAUACUUAAAUCAUUUAUUUAGUUACACAGUACUACUCACAUAACUUAUGUGUCAUCAGUACCUUCCGUAAAACCUUCGUGAUGCUACCCAUACGUCAUGGCACCGAACAACCCGAAGGUGUACUUCAAUAAAUUUCAUUGUUCAGCUGUCAGACAGAUUCUGUGACCUUGCGCCAUUUUAUCGGUCCUUUUUCAAAUAAGUGUAUCAAAUAAAAUUUAUUGACUUUAAACUUAUUUAACAUACAAUUUUAAUUAAAAAAUAUAUCGUGACCUAAUAGCGAUCUAAUAAGAGCUUCUCUGUAUUCUAUGUAUUUUAUCUCUAUUUCUGUAAUUUUUUUGUACAAAAAAUAGGAGUUCCAAGCUCUACAAUAACAAAGUAUGUAUAAGUACGUUUUCAACAAUAUUUUAUAUACAGGGUGUCCAAAAACUCUACCGACAAACGAAGACAGGAGAUUCCUCAGAUAAAUUUAAGACAUUUUAACCUAAUUCUUCUAGUCCGAAAAUGCUUCCUAAGAGGGCUAGAGCUCUUUAAAUAUGGCGUCUUGUAAUUAGUUUUUCUUAAAUAACGUCAGAACGCUCUCAUUUAGAAACAUGAGAAUUGGUACGCAUAUUUAUCUUUCAGAGAUAAAUCGAUUACAUUUAUUGUGAACUUUUAGUACCGGUCAUAGGCGUCCGUUUUGGGUAGGGCCACGGUUAUUUUAUCAGAUAACUUUUAUGUCUUUAACUUUUAAGCAUUUUUGACACUGGAUUAUUAAAUUAUGAGGUAUCCUAGUACUAAAAGGUACUCUUCCUUUAAGUCGGUAGAACACACGGUUUUCUAAAAAAAUCGAUUUCAAAAUUUUUCGUUUCUUGAAUUUCCAAAAAAAAUUAAAAAAAAAACAGUUAGAAAAACGAAAAUUGGUACGUUUAUUUAUAUUCCAGAGAUGAAUCGAUUUCAUUAAUUGCGAAUUUGUAGUACCGGUAAUAUGCGUCCGUUUUGGGUAGGUCAAGAGUUAUUUUAUCGCAUAACUUUUUUGCCUUUAAUUUUAAGAAUUUGUGACUUUAGAUUGUUAAAUUAUGAGCUAUUCUAGUACUAAAAGUUGCUCUUGGUAUAAGUUAGUAAAAUACACUGUUUUUUUUUUAACUUUUUUGCAGUUUUUUUUUUCAAAUUUAAAAGACGAAAAAUUUUCAAAUCGAUUUUUCUAGAAAACGGCGUGUUCUACGGACUUAAAUCAAAAGCACCUUUUAGUACUAGAAUAUCUCACAGUAUAAUAAUCCAAUAUCAAAAAUGCUUAAAAGUUACAGAUAAAAAAGUUAUGCGAUAAAAUAACCGUUGCCCUACCCAUAACGGACGCCUAUGACCGGUACUAGAAAUUCAAGAUGAAUGAAAUCGAUGCAUCUUUGGAAGAUAAAUGUGUGUACCAAUUUUUGUUUUUCUAAAUACAAGGGUUCUGGAGGUAUCUAAGAAAAACUAAUUACAAGACGCCAUCUUCAAAGAGCUCUAGCUCCCUUAGAAGCAUUUUCGGACUAGAUGAAUUGGGUUUAAAUGUCUUAAAAUUAUAUGAGGAGUCUCCUGUCUUCGUUUGUCGGUAGAGUUUCUGGACACCCUGUAUACAUAAUAUAGGUAAAGUUUUGUUCUGAAGCUAUUUCCUUGUGGCAUUUUUAUAAUCAACUAUUUUCAAUGAUUGAAUACAAGAAUUAUUUUGUAUUUUGACAAUAACACCUGACUUGGGCGUCGAAACGUUAAUAAAAUCAUUUUUUUGGUAAAAUUGUGCCUUAUUUCCCAUUGAAAAUAAUUGAUUAGGUAAAGUUUCAUAGUUAACACCAAAUUUUCAAGUACCUACCCAUUUAAGUACAUACACAUUUAUAAAAACAUUGUGAAUUUAAAAAUGCUUACCUUGAUUCGUCUUUUGGAAAACGGAAAAAAACUAUAGCUGAAAUUUGAUACCGUGUUUUUACAGUUGAUCGCUGCACAGAUUAAAUUCGAACUGCCUUUCUUUUUGUCCAUAUCCAUAAUUAUUAUUGCACAAUGCACAAAAACAAAAUCACCGAACAGAACAUCACAAAAUCAAAGUAACCCCGAAACAAGCGUGAUCUGACAACAACAAUCACAAAUUGAUCCUGUCAGCAGCGGACCUGUGGACCGAAAAAAUGGCCGCCAGCCGUGCGCAAACCAGAUGCGCGAACUUUUCCCGCCGAGUCGACUGUGCCUUCGGGUUGUUCGGUGGUCAUGGCCACUAAAUGUGUUAAAGCUUGUUAAUGUAGGAGAGUUAUACUAAAAUAUAUAUCUUAUAUUAUAUUGCCUUAAAUAGAAAAAAUAUCUUAUUUAAAUUGUAUCCAUGUAAGUUUUGAUUUAAUGAAAUAAACCUUUUAAUCAAAAAAGUGUUGUUUACUUGUGUACACCCAGCAAUAUCCUGAUCAUAGAUAAAUAAUAUAGUAUUACCGGAUCCUGAUAUGCAGACGCCAAUAGGGCUUUUCAUCGAUUGUCAUUUGUUUCGAGCUUCUGU